UAAUCACCGAGCCUGAGGUGAAUAAUUGUUUUAGUAUAAUUUCGUAGGUGAUUAUUUAGAAAAAAAUAAAAAAUACAGAUUUCUUCGUCAUUUAAUUGACAAAACGGCUUCGGCCGCCAUUUUGAAAAUCGCUUAGGUGAUUAUCGCGUAAUAAUCACCUCAACGGCAACCAAUCAGCGUGGAGAAUUUUCAAUAAUCACCUAUGUAAUUAUACUAAAUAUAUAUAU
This is a non-coding RNA of Paramuricea clavata, 227 nucleotides long. Lineage: Eukaryota; Metazoa; Cnidaria; Anthozoa; Malacalcyonacea; Plexauridae. The record is from the annotation of a GenBank genome assembly.